This 1128-nucleotide long non-coding RNA is filed under the name Olea europaea subsp. europaea. The stretch from base 449 to 549 matches the Rfam family "MIR394 microRNA precursor family". Lineage: Eukaryota; Viridiplantae; Streptophyta; Magnoliopsida; Lamiales; Oleaceae. The record is from RNAcentral.
UUCAUCACAAACGAGGGUAUGAGAAAUGCAAAAAAAAAGACUGAUGGUAGAUGGGGAGAUAUGGUUUUCUUUUUCAUCACAAUCGAGGUGGAAGGGAGGGAGAGUUUUUUAGGGAAAGAAUUUCUAUGACGAUUCUUUGAUUCUUUUCUUGUUAAAAUUUUUUCCCGAGAAUGAACCACCCAGUCUUGAUUAUUACCUCCUUCUGAAAAACUGAAACCAACCCUAUUAAUUAUUUACAGCUCUUCAAUUUUCUCUCUCUUAUUUACUGUAGUAGCUCAUCUUUCAUCUUAAAUAGUGCCCAACUGCCCUCUUUCUUACACCUCAUACUUGGUACUAAUAAUCCAGCCUUUUUCCCUGCACGUCUUUCAUUUGUGUAGGCGUGUGUGUGAUGUCAGUGGUGGAUUUUGUGUGUUCUUGGACUAGGUCAUGGCGGUUUAUCAAAGGGUUUCUACCAGAAUUUAUUGGCAUUCUGUCCACCUCCAUUCCUGUUAAGAAAUUUCAUUCUGAUGAUAUAUGGAGGUGGGCAUACUGCCAACUGAGUUCUGUUGAAUUCUCUUUGUAAAACCCUCGUGAAGCUCUUUCCCUUGUUUUCGACUGUAUACAGAGCCAAGGUAACGAACCCCUUGCAUAAAUUCGUGCAAAAUUUCUCUUUUUCUUUACCAUGCAUGUUAAGAAAUUUUAGAUGCUUAAUUUUUGUAUUAUUAAUCACACAGCAUUUUUCUUGGUCUUACAGUUUUUCUUUUUUAGUCUAUGGUGACUAUUUCUCUAUUUUUUGUUCGUUUGAAUCUAUGUUCUGCAGCAGCUAAUCUGGCGGCAAAAAGCUUCAGAAUCCAGAUGAAAUAGAAGUUAAACAAUAGAAUAGAACUUCUGCUAAGGAAUGGAACCCUACUUCUCAGAUUUUGUGUGUAAAUCAAUUAAAUCAUUUUCCUAGGAAAAUUUAUCUGGCUAGCUAGUUACUUUCAAGAUGUGUUGAUCACCUGCUUCGCAGCUCGUUGAUCACCUGCUUCGCAGCUCAACAGUCAAGAUCAUAAAAGGAGAAAUAGAGAUUUCUCCAUUGAUUUUCCGUCAAGAGAAGGAAAUCCCAGAAAAAGUUGGAAGAGGAAAAAACUUCCUAGUACAAAAUCUAUU